CGCCGCCGCCCUCCUGCUCCGCCCCGGUCCUCGCCGCCUUCGUGCUCCCGCUCGCCUACCCCCAAGCGCGCCCGCUACGCGAAGAAGCCGCCCACUGCCGUGACAGCGCCGCACGCUGAUGAGCGGCCGCGUCGGGCGAGCCCACCGGGGCUUCCGCGGGAGCUAGCUGCGCGGGGCACGCGGCGGUGUGGGGCGGUGGAUCCGCGGAAGGAAAUGGUCCCCGCUGCUCUCCUUCUCCUGGCCUCCGGCGGCUAGUCCCUCCACCUGAUCCCCUCUUGGUGGCGACAGGAACUUGGACGCGAAAGGGCCACUGCUGCCUCCCCCCUCCCGCUCGCUUCCCUGCUCGGGCAAAAGCGAGAUGCGGGGGGCUGCCGGCGCUGCCUGUUCUCUAAGCUCCGCCCGCUCCAGGCAGCGGCCGCGGGAGCGGCUUCCCGACCCGCCGGCAGCGCUGGCGGGGAGGGCGGCGGCGGCGGCGGCUCCGGCUCCUCCCGGCCCAAAGAAUGGCCGUAGCAGCAUCCGCCCUGCGGCGGCCUGGGGAGGGACGGAGCCCAGGGGUCUGGGGGGCGGGGAGGGGGGAACGACAAGCAGCGCCUGGACCGGGGCGGGGGUCUCCCCUCUGUCAAAGCCUGUCAGCGCCUGUCAACCCGCCGGCCGCCACCACCUCUCGCGAGAGGAGCAGCGGCGGUGGGGGAUGAGCGGGCCGUGACGGCUCCGCGAGCUGCGGGAAUGAAGCCGCUGGCGCGGCCGGAGGAGCGGCCUGCUUCACAUGGCUUGCUAAGGGACCUCCCGUGCCCCCUCUCGCCCCCGGCAGCUGAUUAUAGCGCUCCGCUGGCGGGGUCGGUUCGCGGGUUGGAGGCUAGGUGGCAGUGGGGCUCCGACGCCCGGCCCGGCGGCCGCAGCUGUGAUGGUGCUUCCGUUGCGCCCGGCGGCCCCUCUCCUGCUCACAGCCCUGCAAAACCCCCAGCCCCGCUUUCAGUCGCCUCAUCUUGGAUCUUUGCCGUACGCAACCUAGCUGCUCCUUAGCGUUGUCCGGGUGUAAAGCGUCCGGGUGUACGGCUUGGAAGCCACAAUCAGGUUGGCCUCACUCAUGGUGAGGGAGAGAGCCAGAGCAGCAGUCUGAGUGAAGCGGGUGACGGAUGGAGCCCUUGCACUUCUGCCAUCAAGAAGAGGUUCCUUCUUAGAAGAAGGAAGAGGGAACUGUGUCAGAAGAGUAUGCUAAUGGGAAGAAAAUGUGGCGCAGAAAAGUCCCAAGAGGGAAGAGUACAUCAUCAUAGUUGAAAUACAGUAGGGGCACAUAAUUCUGUGAGGGAGAACCUUAUCAAAAUGAAAGAAAAAACCGAGGGUGUAUCAUUAAUAGCAAAUAAAUUUUGUGAUGUGCAUCCAUCAAAUGUGAUAUAAUGCUAAAUACUGUCUUUGAAGAAAGCAAUGAAUUGAGGAUGCUACCACAGUCCUCAUGAAAAACAAGGAAAUAGGGGACCCAACAAUAAGAAGACGGAUGAGGAAAAUGCUGUCCUCUCAAAACCGAAAGGACCAAGGAAGUUCAGAAAUACUAGUAUAUGGGAAACUGGCAAGAGUCAGAGGAAAAUGGGCCAGACGUUCUUAAAGGUCCUGGGACUUCACAUGACCUGUGAGAAGGGUGAGAGAAUCUGUAACUUUAAAGGAGAAUAAACAGAACACAUGCUCCAAAUAUGGCCAAAUAAAAUGCCAUUAACACUAAAAAAUACACUUUGAAGGAAAAAAAGAGAAAUUAAUAUUCACUUUAAACUCAAAUUAUUUAUUGCAUACCACUGCUUAAAACAUUAACACAGUAGAGUCUGGGUGUCAUUGGUGAACAAAACAAAAGUGUAAUACAUUAAAUAAAAGUAAGCAAUAAAUUAA
Molecule: long non-coding RNA, 1878 nt
Organism: Pezoporus occidentalis (night parrot)
Lineage: Eukaryota; Metazoa; Chordata; Aves; Psittaciformes; Psittacidae
Exons: 2
Source: RefSeq, a predicted model, not a curated record